Molecule: transfer RNA, 69 nt
Filed under: Ictidomys tridecemlineatus (thirteen-lined ground squirrel)
Lineage: Eukaryota; Metazoa; Chordata; Mammalia; Rodentia; Sciuridae
Description: Spermophilus tridecemlineatus (thirteen-lined ground squirrel) tRNA
Rfam family: tRNA
About the family: Transfer RNA (tRNA) molecules are approximately 80 nucleotides in length. Their secondary structure includes four short double-helical elements and three loops (D, anti-codon, and T loops).
Source: Rfam by way of RNAcentral
GAGGGUAUGGCUCAGUGGUAGAGCACAGAUCUAACGUGUGAGGCCCUGGGUUCAGUCCCAGUACCACCA